GCCAGGCAGGUUUGGUCCUGGAGGGUCAUUUGGGAUUCCAGGUCGGCGGAACAGGGUAAAUCCAGUCUGUGUGACUCCAUCUUGCUCAGAAGAGGAUGAAGUCUCUUUGCUUCACAUGUGACAGCAGAGGGUGUUAAAAGAGGAUGUCUAAGACUUCUGGAAUUCACUAAAAUUUCUACAGCAGAAUAUGCUGGCCUUGAAGAAGUCUAACUUCUUUAUUUUAGUAUGGUCUGGGCCCUGGUGAUUACGGCAAUGAGUGAGACACAGCUCCUGACAUGGUUAAGGAUGGAAUGGUCAAAGAAUAAAGACAUGAUAUCUAGAAGGAAAAAGAUGUUGUUGGAGCCAAACUGUCCACACGGGAAUCCAUGAGCCAAGUUCUGCAGAACAUAGAAAGUCUGACUGUCU
Molecule: long non-coding RNA, 405 nt
Organism: Talpa occidentalis (Iberian mole)
Lineage: Eukaryota; Metazoa; Chordata; Mammalia; Eulipotyphla; Talpidae
Exons: 5
Source: RefSeq, a predicted model, not a curated record